UUCAUUUUUUUCCAAAGUAUACUCCUUUUCAAAGUUUCCAAAACACUAUUUUUCAACCCUAAACCCUGAAUUUGAUAAUGUUAAUCAUUUGGAUGCUGUCAAUCGUUUGCUCCAUAAGAAUCCUACCCCACCACCCAUUGAAUUUGGCAAGAUUUUAGGUUCCAUUGUGAAGAUUAACCAUUACUCAUUGCUGCCAUUCCUGAUAUACUGUUUUGGAAUCUUUACAAAUACAAAGGUAGAAUACAUGUGAAAUCUGAUGGGGAUUAUGGAUAUAAGUUUGCAUGUUUAGGCCUAAAAGCAAGGUCCAUAAUAUUUAGGGGAAAAGGGUUAGUUAGUUAGAGAAGUAGAACAUUGUGAAUACUGAUUGUAAAAUGGGUUACAUGUUAAAUGAAAUCAUUUUGAUUCACAGUAUUUAUAAUUAUAAAAUAUGUAAGUGCUAUUCUUUUUAAAUACAUCUAUAGGGUUGAUUUGUUACGUUAGAUCAACCAAAACAUGUAGCUGUUAUGCUAGAACGUUUUGCAAUAGGAUUGAAUGGUUUACUUGAGUCAAAAUAACAUGCAUGGUGGAAUACCACAUUAAGAGCUAUGUAGUUUAACACAUGUCAGUAUCGACACAAUACCAACACAUGUGGUUACACUCAAUCAACUUCCAUUUUGUUCAAUUAUUACCAAUGUCUAUGUGUCAGUGUCGACUCUGGUGUCUAUUAAAGAAUAUGGUGACUUGAACACUGAUGUGUCCAAGAAGCUUAGGAAUACACCUUCAACUCAUGGAUCAAGAUGGAGAUGGAAGUCUAUGUUAAAUUCUGUCGCCAAGCAUUUUUCGCAGGUCUCAAUUAUCACUUGUAAGCAGAACAUUGUUCCAUGUCUUGUUCCUACAAGUUAUGAACAUGGUAAUGAUAUUGUAAAAAGAAAACUAAUUGCAUUUUUCUACUUAUUCUAAUAAGCUUGAAGUUAGAUACUUUUGCUUAUAUUUAAAGCUAGGAGGAG
Cicer arietinum (chickpea) is the source of this 986-nucleotide non-coding RNA. The record is from RefSeq and is a predicted model, not a curated record. NCBI's taxonomy places the organism in Eukaryota, Viridiplantae, Streptophyta, Magnoliopsida, Fabales, Fabaceae.